AGGGAGGGCCUGGCCUGGAGAGAAUCAGAAAGGCUUGGCAAAGAUGCUAACUUCUGAGCUGGGCUUUGACAGGUGUAUGGGAGUUUACGGGGUAGUGAAUGGGAGAAGGCGUAUUCCAGGCACAAAGAAAGGUAUGUGUGUGUGAACCAGAGAAAUGGCAGAGACCAGGGAACAGUCAUAAGUGUCAUGUGUCUGGAGCCGAAGUUCAGGAAGAAAGAAGGGCCCGAAGUGAGACAGGAGAGUGAGGUGGGGACCUCUGUGAGGAGCCUCAAUUCUGGGCUGGCAGUUUCUACUUGCGGAAUUUCAAAGGUGUUUUUCUUUUGUUUUUUUUGUUUUUGUGAGGAAGAUUGGUCCUGAGCUAACAUCUGUUGCCAAUCUCUUCCUCUUCUUGCUUGAGGAAGAUUGUUGCUGAGCUAACAUCUGUGCCAGUCUUCCUCUAUUUUACGUGGGAUGCUAUCACAGUGUGGCUUGACAAGUGGUGCUAGGUCUGUGCCCAGAAUCCGAACCCGCGAACCCCGGGGUGCUGAAGCAGAGUGUAGGAACUUAACUACUGUGCCACCAGACCGGCCCCUAAAGGUUUUGAGCUCCAGGCGGGGACGGUGUCUGACUCAUUCCUGUGUCCCCAGCACAGAGUCUGCACAGAGCGGGAACUCAGCGCCCGGCACUGGAGGAGUGGAUUAGAAGGCAGGCCGCUCUCCACAUUGACCUGCAGAGUGACCUCUCUGACCCCUAGGAUCCAACCUUACCACAGCAGGCAGAAAGCCUUUUACUGGCUCCCAGUGUCCCGGAUGAAGCCCACACGCCGUAAAUGAUGAUGAAGAUGAAGGUGGUAGCUACCACAUACCUCUCUCACAACCCCCACAACAGUCCUGCAAGGCAGGCGAGGAUCAUUGUCCUCAUUUGUCAAAUGAAAAUCUGAUGGCUCAGAGAGGUUCAGUGACUUACCCGAGGUUACUCAGCCAGCGAGCUGCAGACACAGGCACCAAGCCCAGGGCUGUGGGCUGAUUGUUUGACGGGCAUUCGAGGCCUGUCAGCCUCCCUCGCCAGAGAAGUUGCCAGGCUUGUCCAGGUGCCCAGGCAUCAGCCUCGUCUGACUCAGCAAGGAGCAAGUCGGAGGCGGCUGCUUGCCCGUCAGACUGCUGUUUUCUGCCUGAGAAGCAUCACUUGCCUCUUUCUCUUCUGCUCCUCAAGGAUCAUUCUGCAUCUGGGGGGAGUCAUUUUCCACAGAGUCAAGAGUUCUGAAAACUCGCUUUAUUGUUGUACACUGAAAACGGAUACCAUGUUAUGUGUGAGUUAUAUCUCAAUUAAAAGUCAGGUUAUAUUAGUGUACACAGCAACAGUAGAAGCUAACAUUUAUGCGGCAUUGAACGUCAAGACCGUGCUAAGUGCUUCACAUACAUUGUCUCACUUUGUAAGGUCCAUUAAUUUAUUUAUUUGAAUAAGGACCCUCUACACGUGAUUAAAAGAAAGAGAGAGAGGGAUUACAAAAAAAGCGUUUGGUGAAAAGUCAGUCUCUUUCCUCCUCUGCACUCCUAUCUCCCACGUCCCCUCCCAGAGACCAGUGUGACCAGCUCCUCGGGUGUCCUGCAGAGUCCCGAGUUACUACUAUCUCAUUUAAUCCUCUCAUCAGCCCUUUGAAGUAGGUAUUAUUAUCCUUGUAUUACAUAUCAGGACACUGAGGUUCAGAGACAGGAAGCCAC
Molecule: long non-coding RNA, 1700 nt
Filed under: Equus asinus (donkey)
Lineage: Eukaryota; Metazoa; Chordata; Mammalia; Perissodactyla; Equidae
Description: lncRNA (ENSEASG00005032000.1)
Source: RNAcentral